UAUGAGUGUCCGGAUCACUUCAUUGGUCUGGCUGUUGGCUUUAAGAUACAGUGUGUUGCUGACUGCUCCAGCACUCAGUUCCGCUGUGGAGACAAUGAGAAGUGCAUUCCCAUCUGGUGGAAGUGUGAUGGUCAGUCAGAUUGUGGGGAUGGCUCUGAUGUCCCUCAGACAUGUUCUUCACGUUACUGCCCAAUUGGACGCUUCCAGUGCCUGGAUGGGAAAUGUACCUACUCGAUUUUCCUGUGUGAUGGCCAUAAUAAUUGUCCAGAUGAAUCUGAUGAAGAUGCUGCACUCUGCAGUGAUCAUUGUUGCUCUGAGAACCAGUUCCAGUGUAAAAAUAAGCACUGUAUCCCAAUUUCCUGGCACUGCGAUGGUGUGCAGGACUGUGCAGAUGGCAGCAAUG
This is a long non-coding RNA of Cyprinus carpio carpio, 403 nucleotides long. The record is from Ensembl. Lineage: Eukaryota; Metazoa; Chordata; Actinopteri; Cypriniformes; Cyprinidae.